RNAcentral lists this ribosomal RNA (253 nucleotides) under uncultured bacterium. RNAcentral describes it as "partial 16S ribosomal RNA". It matches the Rfam family "Bacterial small subunit ribosomal RNA", at positions 524 to 776 of the family's 1533-position model. The record is from RNAcentral.
UACGAAGGGGGCUAGCGUUGCUCGGAAUGACUGGGCGUAAAGGGUGCGUAGGCGGGUCUUUAAGUCAGGGGUGAAAUCCUGGAGCUCAACUCCAGAACUGCCUUUGAUACUGAAGAUCUUGAGUCCGGGAGAGGUGAGUGGAACUGCGAGUGUAGAGGUGAAAUUCGUAGAUAUUCGCAAGAACACCAGUGGCGAAGGCGGCUCACUGGCCCGGUACUGACGCUGAGGCACGAAAGCGUGGGGAGCAAACAGG